RNAcentral lists this ribosomal RNA (432 nucleotides) under uncultured Sphingobacteriales bacterium. RNAcentral's name for it is "bacterial SSU rRNA". It matches the Rfam family "Bacterial small subunit ribosomal RNA", at positions 952 to 1382 of the family's 1533-position model. Lineage: Bacteria; Pseudomonadati; Bacteroidota; Sphingobacteriia; Sphingobacteriales. The record is from RNAcentral.
CGAUGAUACGCGAGGAACCUUACCUGGGCUCGAACGUAAGAUGACUGUAGGUGAAAGCUUACAUCUCUUCGGAGCAUUUUACGAGGUGCUGCAUGGUUGUCGUCAGCUCGUGCCGUGAGGUGUCGGGUUAAGUCCCAUAACGAGCGCAACCCCUACCUUUAGUUGCCAUCAGGUUAAGCUGGGGACUCUAAAGGAACUGCCUACGCAAGUAGGUGAGGAAGGCGGGGAUGACGUCAAAUCCAGCACGGCCCUUACGUCCAGGGCUACACACGUGCUACAAUGGCCGAUACAGAGGGCAGCUACCUGGUGACAGGAUGCAAAUCUCCAAAGUCGGUCUCAGUUCGGAUCGGAGUCUGCAACCCGACUCCGUGAAGUUGGAUUCGCUAGUAAUCGCGCAUCAGCCAUGGCGCGGUGAAUACGUUCCCGGGCCUU